GUUUUCUUCAGGAGCAUGUAAAGUUGAGACAAGACAGAGAUUAGUGUGAUCCUAUGCAAGGAUGACAGACAACAUUGUGAAAUGUUUCAUAUUUUU
RNAcentral lists this small nuclear RNA (96 nucleotides) under Microtus ochrogaster (prairie vole). Lineage: Eukaryota; Metazoa; Chordata; Mammalia; Rodentia; Cricetidae. The record is from RNAcentral.